RNAcentral lists this ribosomal RNA (256 nucleotides) under uncultured bacterium. RNAcentral describes it as "partial 16S ribosomal RNA". It matches the Rfam family "Bacterial small subunit ribosomal RNA", at positions 98 to 354 of the family's 1533-position model. The record is from RNAcentral.
CGGGACGGGUGAGUAACACGUGGGUAAUCUGCCUUAUACAGGGGGAUAACAGUUAGAAAUGACUGCUAAUACCGCAUAAGCGCACGGAAACGCAUGUUUCUGUGUGAAAAACUCCGGCAGUAUAAGAUGAGCCCGCGUCUGAUUAGCUGGUUGGUGGGGUAACGGCCUACCAAGGCGACGAUCAGUAGCCGGCCUGAGAGGGUGAACGGCCACAUUGGGACUGAGACACGGCCCAAACUCCUACGGAAGGCAGCAG